AGUGAACGCUGGCGGUAGGCCUAACACAUGCAAGUCGAACGGCAGCACAGUAAGAGCUUGCUCUUACGGGUGGCGAGUGGCGGACGGGUGAGGAAUACAUCGGAAUCUACUUUUUCGUGGGGGAUAACGUAGGGAAACCUACGCUAAUACCGCAUCCGACCUACGGGUGAAAGCAGGGGAUCUUCUGACCUUGCGCGAUUGAAUGAGCCGAUGUUGGGUUAGCUAGUUGGCGGGGUAAAGACCCACCAAGUGGACGAUCCGUAGCUGGUCUGAGAGGACGAUCGGCGACACGGGAGGGUAGACACGGACAAGACUACUACGGGAGGGAGCAGUGGGGAAUAGGGGACAAUGGGGGCGAGCCUGAUCCAGCCAGACCGCGUGGGUGAAGAAGGCCUUCGGUUUGUAAAGCCCUUUUGUUGGGAAAGAAAAGCAGCAGGUUAAUACGCCGCUGUUCUGACGGUACUCAAAGAAUAAGCACCGGCUAACUUCGUG
This 492-nucleotide ribosomal RNA is filed under the name uncultured bacterium. Its description in RNAcentral is "partial 16S ribosomal RNA". It matches the Rfam family "Bacterial small subunit ribosomal RNA", at positions 29 to 507 of the family's 1533-position model. The record is from RNAcentral.